RNAcentral lists this long non-coding RNA (533 nucleotides) under Homo sapiens (human). RNAcentral describes it as "non-protein coding lnc-CMAS-2:1". The record is from RNAcentral. Lineage: Eukaryota; Metazoa; Chordata; Mammalia; Primates; Hominidae.
AUGCUGAGGAGCUGUGCUGCGUGCCUCCGCAUGCUGGGGUCCCUGCGCCCACCACCGGUAGGCCUGCCCCUGCUGGGUAGUGAGCCGUGACCUGUGCUGACCCAAAGCUUAUGAAAGAAGAACAGAUAUCACAGGCCCAGCUCUUCACCAGAAGCUUUGAUGAUGGCCUGGGCUUUGAAUACAUGAUGUUCUAGAAUGACAUUGAGAAAAGGAUGGUUUGCUUAUUUCAAGGAGGCCCUUACCUGGAAGGACCACCUGGAUUCGUUCAUGGAGGUGCCAUUGCAACGAUGAUUGAUGCUACUGUUGGUAUGUGUGCAAUGAUGGCUGGGGGAAUUGUCAUGACUGCCAAUCUCAACAUCAAUUACAAAAGACCUAUUCCUCUUUGUUCUGUUGUUAUGAUAAAUUGCCAACUUGAUAAAGUUGAAGGAAGAAAAUUUUUUGUUUCCUGUAAUGUUCAGAGUGUUGAUGAGAAGACCUCAUACUCAGAGGCAACAAGCUUAUUUAUAAAGCUGAAUCCUGCUAAAAGUCUGACA